UACAGAGGUCUCAAGCGUUGUUCGGAUCAUUGGGCGUAAAGGGUGUGUAGGUGGCGCCGUAAGUCGGGUGUGAAAUUUCGGAGCUUAACUCCGAAACUGCAUUCGAUACUGCGGUGCUUGAGGACUGGAGAGGAGACUGGAAUUCAUGGUGUAGCAGUGAAAUGCGUAGAGAUCAUGAGGAAGACCAGUGGCGAAGGCGGGUCUCUGGGCCGUAACUGACGCUGAGGAGCGAAAGCGUGGGAGC
Molecule: ribosomal RNA, 244 nt
Filed under: uncultured bacterium
Lineage: Bacteria
Description: partial 16S ribosomal RNA
Rfam family: Bacterial small subunit ribosomal RNA
Source: RNAcentral